CUGUGAAGAUGCAGUGUACCCGCGGCAAGACGGAAAGACCCCGUGAACCUUUACUAUAGCUUGACACUGAACAUUGAGCCUUGAUGUGUAGGAUAGGUGGGAGGCUUUGAAGUGUGGACGCCAGUCUGCAUGGAGCCGACCUUGAAAUACCACCCUUUAAUGUUUGAUGUUCUAACGUGGACCCGUUACCCGGGUUGCGGACAGUGUCUGGUGGGUAGUUUGACUGGGGCGGUCUCCUCCUAAAGAGUAACGGAGGAGCACGAAGGUUGGCUAAUCCUGGUCGGACAUCAGGAGGUUAGUGCAAUGGCAUAAGCCAGCUUGACUGCGAGCGUGACGGCGCGAGCAGGUGCGAAAGCAGGUCAUAGUGAUCCGGUGGUUCUGAAUGGAAGGGCCAUCGCUCAACGGAUAAAAGGUACUCCGGGGAUAACAGGCUGAUACCGCCCAAGAGUUCAUAUCGACGGCGGUGUUUGGCACCUCGAUGUCGGCUCAUCACAUCCUGGGGCUGAAGUAGGUCCCAAGGGUAUGGCUGUUCGCCAUUUAAAGUGGUACGCGAGCUGGGUUUAGAACGUCGUGAGACAGUUCGGUCCCUAUCUGCCGUGGGCGCUGGAGAACUGAGGGGGGCUGCUCCUAGUACGAGAGGACCGGAGUGGACGCAUCACUGGUGUUCGGGUUGUCAUGCCAAUGGCACUGCCCGGUAGCUAAAUGCGGAAGAGAUAAGUGCUGAAAGCAUCUAAGCACGAAACUUGCCCCGAGAUGAGUUCUCCCUGAGACUUAG
Molecule: ribosomal RNA, 775 nt
Filed under: Salmonella enterica
Lineage: Bacteria; Pseudomonadati; Pseudomonadota; Gammaproteobacteria; Enterobacterales; Enterobacteriaceae
Description: partial 23S ribosomal RNA
Rfam family: Bacterial large subunit ribosomal RNA
Source: RNAcentral